AUAAAAUAGCAUAUAGUAAGUCGUAUAAUACCGGGAAUAUGGCCUGGAAGUUUCUACCGGAGCACCUUAAAUGCUUCGACUACGAUUCCGCGUAAAAGAUAU
This 102-nucleotide non-coding RNA is filed under the name Sporosarcina sp. RNAcentral describes it as "Guanine sequence". It matches the Rfam family "Purine riboswitch aptamer". From Rfam's summary of the family: Riboswitches are metabolite binding domains within certain messenger RNAs that serve as precision sensors for their corresponding targets. The record is from RNAcentral. RNAcentral also lists the same sequence under 1 other name. Lineage: Bacteria; Bacillati; Bacillota; Bacilli; Caryophanales; Caryophanaceae.